This 807-nucleotide ribosomal RNA is filed under the name Staphylococcus epidermidis. RNAcentral's name for it is "bacterial SSU rRNA". It matches the Rfam family "Bacterial small subunit ribosomal RNA", at positions 60 to 849 of the family's 1533-position model. The record is from RNAcentral. Lineage: Bacteria; Bacillati; Bacillota; Bacilli; Caryophanales; Staphylococcaceae.
AGUCGAGCGACAGACCAGUAGCUUGCUCCUCUGACGUUAGCGGCGGACGGGUGAGUAACACGUGGAUAACCUACCUAUAAGACUGGGAUAACUUCGGGAAACCGGAGCUAAUACCGGAUAAUAUAUUGAACCGCAUGGUUCAAUAGUGAAAGACGGUUUUGCUGUCACUUAUAGAUGGAUCCGCGCCGCAUUAGCUAGUUGGUAAGGUAACGGCUUACCAAGGCAACGAUGCGUAGCCGACCUGAGAGGGUGAUCGGCCACACUGGAACUGAGACACGGUCCAGACUCCUACGGGAGGCAGCAGUAGGGAAUCUUCCGCAAUGGGCGAAAGCCUGACGGAGCAACGCCGCGUGAGUGAUGAAGGUCUUCGGAUCGUAAAACUCUGUUAUUAGGGAAGAACAAAUGUGUAAGUAACUAUGCACGUCUUGACGGUACCUAAUCAGAAAGCCACGGCUAACUACGUGCCAGCAGCCGCGGUAAUACGUAGGUGGCAAGCGUUAUCCGGAAUUAUUGGGCGUAAAGCGCGCGUAGGCGGUUUUUUAAGUCUGAUGUGAAAGCCCACGGCUCAACCGUGGAGGGUCAUUGGAAACUGGAAAACUUGAGUGCAGAAGAGGAAAGUGGAAUUCCAUGUGUAGCGGUGAAAUGCGCAGAGAUAUGGAGGAACACCAGUGGCGAAGGCGACUUUCUGGUCUGUAACUGACGCUGAUGUGCGAAAGCGUGGGGAUCAAACAGGAUUAGAUACCCUGGUAGUCCACGCCGUACACGAUGAGUGCUAAGUGUUAUGGGGUUUCUACCCCUUAUCGCCGC